GGGUGCUUGCCAGUAGAAUAGACUCUUAUCAGGCUUGAUCUUUCUGGUCUAGCUCUGCACUGAUGUCCCUGCCUGAACUUGCACCUUCUUCACUUUCUUCUUCUUGUUCUUCUUCCCUUUCUUAAAAGGUCGAGAACCAGAAGACGAAGCUCCCACUAAGUUCACCGACUCCUUGUGAAGUUGGUGAUCCUUCUCAAAGUUCUGAAGUAACCCCAGUAACCUGUGGUAGUUCUCUUCAGGCUUUGUCAUUCUAUAAUGAGUGAGGAAUGGGAGAUAAGACUUGGGCAGCGAGUUCAGUAUUGCAUCUUUCCCAAGCUGCUCAUGCAAGGGAAAGCCGAGCUUGCUCAAUCAUUCCAUCAGCUCGAUCAUGUACAAUACAUGAUCAGUGACAGAGGCACCAUCUUGCAUUUUGGCGUUGAAGAUGGUACAACUAGUCUUGUGCCUCUCGACGUCAUCGGAUGUGCCAAAGGCAUCCUCCAACACUUGAAGCAUGUCCUUUGGCUGAGC
This 507-nucleotide long non-coding RNA is filed under the name Elaeis guineensis (African oil palm). RNAcentral's name for it is "long non-coding RNA (EGUI_LNC023388)". Lineage: Eukaryota; Viridiplantae; Streptophyta; Magnoliopsida; Arecales; Arecaceae. The record is from RNAcentral.